This 428-nucleotide ribosomal RNA is filed under the name uncultured bacterium. RNAcentral describes it as "bacterial SSU rRNA". It matches the Rfam family "Bacterial small subunit ribosomal RNA", at positions 355 to 774 of the family's 1533-position model. The record is from RNAcentral.
UGGGGAAUAUUGCGCAAUGGGGGAAACCCUGACGCAGCGACGCCGUGUGAGGGAAGAAGGCUCUCGGGUCGUAAACCUCUGUCGGGAAGGAAGAACCUCUCAGGGCUGAACAGGCCCUGGGACUGACGGUACUUCCAAAGGAAGCACCGGCUAACUCCGUGCCAGCAGCCGCGGUAAUACGGAGGGUGCAAGCGUUAAUCGGAAUCACUGGGCGUAAAGCGCGCGUAGGCCGUCUUUUAAGUCGGACGUGAAAGCCCUCGGCUCAACCGGGGAACUGCGUUCGAUACUGGGAUACUUGAGUCCUGGAGAGGGUGGCGGAAUUCCGGGUGUAGGAGUGAAAUCCGUAGAUAUCCGGAGGAACACCGGUGGCGAAGGCGGCCACCUGGACAGGUACUGACGCUGAGGCGCGAAAGCGUGGGGAGCAAACA